AAAUUAUUCGGUGUAACCGAUGCCAGGUUAGCAAAUGCAUGGACGUACAAGCUGAAUGAAAUAGACAUACGCAGUCAUGGGAUAGGCAUUGGUGUGAACCAGGGAGGUGGAUUUUACCCAUUGGAACAGCUUCCAAGAUCCGCAUUGGUUAAAAGUGUCACAGAAGGUCGCCAUGGGAAAGGUGCUAUAUUUAUAUUUGGUUCUGGAAAUGACGGGGAGCUUCUUGAUGAUUGCAAUACAGUGGAGCAAGUAAACAGUAUAUAUACAAUAAGUGUUUCCCCCUUAGCACCGGACGGAGGCCCGGCAGUUUACGCCGAGGAAUGCGCAUGCGUGAUAACUGCUGCCUAUGCCGGCGAGGAUUAUUAUAAUGGGACAAAGAAGUACCUGGCAACAACAUACAUCAAUGACACUUGUAUAGAUAACUAUGGAGGCGGUGCUGCAGCCAGCUCUGUGGCAACAGGAGUUAUAGCCCUUGCUUUACAAGCAAAUCCCGAUCUAACUUGGCGAGAUGUACAGCAUUUAUUAGCAGAAACUUCCAUAUCUACAGAUAUACCUAGGGGAAAUUUCUACACAAACGCAGCUGGCAAAAAC
Long non-coding RNA from Ruditapes philippinarum (Manila clam), 591 nucleotides. RefSeq lists it as uncharacterized. NCBI's taxonomy places the organism in Eukaryota, Metazoa, Mollusca, Bivalvia, Venerida, Veneridae. The record is from RefSeq and is a predicted model, not a curated record. The transcript has 4 exons.